CUCCCCUGGAGGAGACGUGGGUCCCUGCACCCGCCUCGUCGGAUGUGUUUGAUCAGCUGUCGGUGGCCUGCGCCAGGGGAACCCGUGCAGAAGGGACGGUGUUUGAGCAGAGCGGCUGGGAGCCCUGGAGCCCUGGCCACGGCUGCUCCCCGCCUUCUGCAAUCUCUUCUUGGAGGACAAAGGAAGGAGGAGGUUUGAUAGACUAGCCCACAGGUGGCCUGGGGAACAGUGUUGCCCACAGAAGGAGACGUGGAGUGGGCUUCCCCGGAGUGCAGAGGGCGGAGGGCCCUGCUUGGUCCCUCCUGCCGUCCUCUGCACACCCAGCCCGCACUCCGUGCUCCAGGAGAAACCAAGACAGGGAGGUGCGGGCCCUCGAGCCGCCCAGAAUCCCAGCAGCAACGACACCGUCUUGGAAAUCGAUCCUGUACCACUACAGGUCUGGGCUUCAAAGGUGGAGCGGGUGGGGUGGGGACAUCCUAAGAUUGCAGGUUUAGGGACAGGUAGGAAAGCUGGGCAAGGGCAUCGCCCCAGUGGAGCUCAGGAAUCCAGGCCAAGGGCUGCAGACAGGAAGGCGGCGGUGGGGGAGUGCAGGACAGUGCAUCCCCAGCUGCGGAACCAGCUCCGCAGAACUCGGGGUGCGGCUCUUCUCCCUCUCAGGAUGCGUGUCCAGGUCACAGUCGGUCUCCAGCAGCAUUGACUGAGCUCCCGCUGGGCACACUAUCCGCAAGAGCCUGUGAGGAGGGCCACGUCUCCGUGGACUGGGCACCUCUGCUCUGCAAGCACCAAGUGACAGGGCAGACAGCACGGGCGCUCGAGGAAGCUGAAGAACAUUCCGGAGGAGAAGGGCUGGUUCCUACUGCCCACGUCUGAGAAGCCCCCUUCUAGAGACAACCGGAGUCCCGAGCGGGUGGCUUCCCAGGAAGAAUGCAGACACUCGCUGGGGGCCAGGUCUCCGCAGGGCCACAGCUGUUUCCUUCCCACCCCAACUGUGUCUGAGCGUCAGUCCCUGAGGGUCAGAGGGACAACAAGCACCAGGAGGUGAGGGGACCUCUGGGCCUGGCACUGGCACUUUUCCCAGCUGCCCCUGAUUUGUGUCCACCUGGGGCUCAGAGGUCUGGGCUUCGCCAGCUGUGCCAGGGGCUCCCCGAGCUCAUGCUCCGGCCCUGGGCAGCUGUUUCCUGUCACUGCCCACUCUGUCUGGGAUGGAGUCUGUGUCCAACCCAGGGCAGCCCAAAGUGCUCCCCCUUACUCUGGCCUUGGGCCCAGGGC
Molecule: long non-coding RNA, 1269 nt
Filed under: Marmota monax (woodchuck)
Lineage: Eukaryota; Metazoa; Chordata; Mammalia; Rodentia; Sciuridae
Source: RNAcentral